Vigna radiata var. radiata (mung bean) is the source of this 452-nucleotide long non-coding RNA. RefSeq lists it as uncharacterized. The record is from RefSeq and is a predicted model, not a curated record. The transcript has 3 exons. Lineage: Eukaryota; Viridiplantae; Streptophyta; Magnoliopsida; Fabales; Fabaceae.
UUAAGGACGCCGUGAUUUCUAAGGGGAAACCCUUGAUCUUGGAGAAGGUUAGGGUUUGGGUGCAGAGCAUGGCUAGAGGAAGUCCUAUUAAGGACGAAUUGGAAAACAAGAAGCCAUUGUCGUCUCCCUCACCAUCAGUGGCGCGAACGACACUGUAUCCGUCAUUGUCCACGUCCACCACUACUGCACUGAAGAACGAAACUUUGGCGUCUACGAAGAAGAAGAAGAAGGGAGUGAAGAGUUUUAGGUCGAAGGACUUGUGUGAGAUAUUGAUGGAUGAGAAUAGAUGAAUUUAUUGUGUUCCUGAACAGGUGUAUAAACGAGAUGGAAAUCAGCAAGAUUCAGGAAUCAAUUGCAAAAGCAGCUUAAGGCCAUAAAGAAGUUUGUCUUGUAGCCAAUUUGUUUCUACUUUCUAAGAGCAAGAAAAGCAAUGAUGUCACUAUAUGUUGAUA